This 253-nucleotide ribosomal RNA is filed under the name uncultured bacterium. RNAcentral describes it as "partial 16S ribosomal RNA". It matches the Rfam family "Bacterial small subunit ribosomal RNA", at positions 524 to 776 of the family's 1533-position model. The record is from RNAcentral.
UACGUAGGGUGCAAGCGUUGUUCGGAAUCAUUGGGCGUAAAGCGCGUGUAGGUGGUUAGUUAAGUCGAUUGUGAAAUCCCUGGGCUCAACCGAGGAAGUGCAGUCGAAACUGACUAGCUAGAGGACGGCAGAGGAAGGUGGAAUUCCAAGUGUAGAGGUGAAAUUCGUAGAUAUUUGGAGGAAUACCGGUGGCGAAGGCGGCCUUCUGGACCGGUCCUGACACUGAGACGCGAAAGCGUGGGGAGCAAACAGG